AACCGUACGGCUAAGAGAGGGAGAUAGUGCCCCGAGAGAGAGAGAGAGAGAGAGAUUCUUUUGAACUUGCUGGAAAUUAAAGAAAGGAAAUAAUGGAAGAUUAUCAAGAAAUGAUCAAAUUAAAGAUUGAAGGUGAUCAGGCAUGUGACCAAGCUUAGAGGCAUCUGCCUAGAAUCUGUUUUUGUCAGCUAACCUAUGUGCCUCCCGUGGAGGUUCCGGAUAUGUCAAGUGUUUAUCGCUAUGUGAUUUAAGGUUCAAGUUUUGUUUUCGUGUUUGGUUGAACAAGUCUUGUGUAUCUUGUAAGUAGGGUUAAGUCCAUUUUAGUCUAAUGUGUACAUAUAUGAUGACUUAAAGAUAAUGUGUUUAUGUGUAUAUAAAAAAUUUAAAAUUUUUCUGUCUCA
Molecule: non-coding RNA, 401 nt
Organism: Camellia sinensis
Lineage: Eukaryota; Viridiplantae; Streptophyta; Magnoliopsida; Ericales; Theaceae
Source: RefSeq, a predicted model, not a curated record